CUAAAUUUAUGUGCCAUCCUUUUGUUCUUAGGUCUGCCUUGAGGGACAGAUUUCUCGUAAUUCUGCAAAGAAAAGUUUAAGCGACGGUCGUCAGCCCUUUGGUGAUCAGAUACCAUGGAAAUUCUGUGAGCAAUUUCAGGACACUGUGUUUCCCAGUCUGUCAGGUGCUCGGAUUGUACGAAUUGCUACACAUCCAAGUGCCAUGAAGAUUGGAUAUGGUUCACAAGCAGUGGAACUAUUGACAAGGUACUAUGAAGGACAGUUUGCUCCUAUUUCUGAAGUGGAUGUUGAAGAUGUUGUUGAGACGGUGCCUGUCAGAGUCACAGAAGCUGCCGAGAAGGUUU
Prunus avium (sweet cherry) is the source of this 344-nucleotide non-coding RNA. Lineage: Eukaryota; Viridiplantae; Streptophyta; Magnoliopsida; Rosales; Rosaceae. The record is from RefSeq and is a predicted model, not a curated record.